This 504-nucleotide ribosomal RNA is filed under the name uncultured bacterium. Its description in RNAcentral is "bacterial SSU rRNA". It matches the Rfam family "Bacterial small subunit ribosomal RNA", at positions 33 to 526 of the family's 1533-position model. The record is from RNAcentral.
GACGCUGGCGGCAGGCUUAACACAUGCAAGUCGAGCGGUAACAGGGGAAGCUUGCUUCCCGCUGACGAGCGGCGGACGGGUGAGUAAUGCUUAGGAAUCUGCCCAGUAGUGGGGGAUAGCCCGGGGAAACCCGGAUUAAUACCGCAUACGUCCUACGGGAGAAAGCAGGGGAUCUUCGGACCUUGCGCUAUUGGAUGAGCCUAAGUCGGAUUAGCUAGUUGGUGGGGUAAAGGCCUACCAAGGCGACGAUCCGUAGCUGGUCUGAGAGGAUGAUCAGCCACAUCGGGACUGAGACACGGCCCGAACUCCUACGGGAGGCAGCAGUGGGGAAUAUUGGACAAUGGGGGCAACCCUGAUCCAGCCAUGCCGCGUGUGUGAAGAAGGCUUUCGGGUUGUAAAGCACUUUCAGUAGGGAGGAAAACCUUAUGGCUAAUACCCAUGAGGCUUGACGUUACCUACAGAAGAAGCACCGGCUAACUCCGUGCCAGCAGCCCGCGGUAAUAC